UAAGGAAUAUUGGUCAAUGGAGGCAACUCUGAACCAGCCAUGCCGCGUGCAGGAAGACUGCCCUAUGGGUUGUAAACUGCUUUUAUACGGGAAUAAACCUUGAUUCGUGAAUCAAGCUGAAUGUACCGUAAGAAUAAGGAUCGGCUAACUCCGUGCCAGCAGCCGCGGUAAUACGGAGGAUCCAAGCGUUAUCCGGAUUUAUUGGGUUUAAAGGGAGCGUAGGCGGCCUAUUAAGUCAGGGGUGAAAGACGGUGGCUCAACCAUCGCAGUGCCUUUGAUACUGGUAGGCUUGAAUGUAGUUGAGGUAGGCGGAAUGUGACAAGUAGCGGUGAAAUGCAUAGAUAUGUCACAGAACACCGAUUGCGAAGGCAGCUUACUAAGCUAUGAUUGACGCUGAGGCUCGAAAGCGUGGGGAUCAAACA
This 422-nucleotide ribosomal RNA is filed under the name uncultured Pedobacter sp. Its description in RNAcentral is "partial 16S ribosomal RNA". It matches the Rfam family "Bacterial small subunit ribosomal RNA", at positions 355 to 774 of the family's 1533-position model. The record is from RNAcentral. RNAcentral also lists the same sequence under 1 other name. Lineage: Bacteria; Pseudomonadati; Bacteroidota; Sphingobacteriia; Sphingobacteriales; Sphingobacteriaceae.